Molecule: ribosomal RNA, 2450 nt
Filed under: Campylobacter coli
Lineage: Bacteria; Pseudomonadati; Campylobacterota; Epsilonproteobacteria; Campylobacterales; Campylobacteraceae
Description: partial 23S ribosomal RNA
Rfam family: Bacterial large subunit ribosomal RNA
Source: RNAcentral
GUGUCUGGCAAGGUUAAGCAAACGCGAAGCCGUAGCGAAAGCGAGUCUGAAUAGGGCGCUUAGUCAGAUGCUGCAGACCCGAAACGAAGUGAUCUAUCCAUGAGCAAGUUGAAGCUAGUGUAAGAACUAGUGGAGGACUGAACCCAUAGGCGUUGAAAAGCCCCGGGAUGACUUGUGGAUAGGGGUGAAAGGCCAAUCAAACUUCGUGAUAGCUGGUUCUCUCCGAAAUAUAUUUAGGUAUAGCGUUGUGUCGUAAUAUAAGGGGGUAGAGCACUGAAUGGGCUAGGGCAUACACCAAUGUACCAAACCCUAUCAAACUCCGAAUACCUUAUAUGUAAUCACAGCAGUCAGGCGGCGAGUGAUAAAAUCCGUCGUCAAGAGGGAAACAACCCAGACUACCAGCUAAGGUCCCUAAAUCUUACUUAAGUGGAAAACGAUGUGAAGUUACUUAAACAACCAGGAGGUUGGCUUAGAAGCAGCCAUCCUUUAAAGAAAGCGUAAUAGCUCACUGGUCUAGUGAUUUUGCGCGGAAAAUAUAACGGGGCUAAAGUAAGUACCGAAGCUGUAGACUUGCGCACAACUUAGAUUAUUUAAGUUUAGAAUAUGAGAAACUAAGUUAUAUGUUUAGUUAUAUUUUUACUGAUUUUUAUAGAGUAAAGAUAGAAAUAAAACUUAGUAAAAUCAGUAAAAAUAUUCUUAGACUAAAGUUAAGUAGUUUAAGUUGUGUGCAAGUGGUAGGAGAGCGUUCUAUUUGCGUCGAAGGUAUACCGGUAAGGAGUGCUGGAGCGAAUAGAAGUGAGCAUGCAGGCAUGAGUAGCGAUAAUUAAUGUGAGAAUCAUUAACGCCGUAAACCCAAGGUUUCCUACGCGAUGCUCGUCAUCGUAGGGUUAGUCGGGUCCUAAGUCGAGUCCGAAAGGGGUAGACGAUGGCAAAUUGGUUAAUAUUCCAAUACCAACAUUAGUGUGCGAUGGAAGGACGCUUAGGGCUAAGGGGGCUAGCGGAUGGAAGUGCUAGUCUAAGGUCGUAGGAGGUUAUACAGGCAAAUCCGUAUAACAAUACUCCGAGAACUGAAAGGCUUUUUGAAGUCUUCGGAUGGAUAGAAGAACCCCUGAUGCCAUCGAGCCAAGAAAAGUUUCUAAGUUUAGCUAAUGUUGCCCGUACCGUAAACCGACACAGGUGGGUGGGAUGAGUAUUCUAAGGCGCGUGGAAGAACUCUCUUUAAGGAACUCUGCAAAAUAGCACCGUAUCUUCGGUAUAAGGUGUGGUUCGCUUCGUAUUAGGAUUUACUCCGAAAGCGAAGAAACUUACAACAAAGAGUCCCUCCCGACUGUUUACCAAAAACACAGCACUCUGCUAACUCGUAAGAGGAUGUAUAGGGUGUGACGCCUGCCCGGUGCUCGAAGGUUAAUUGAUGGGGUUAGCAUUAGCGAAGCUCUUGAUCGAAGCCCGAGUAAACGGCGGCCGUAACUAUAACGGUCCUAAGGUAGCGAAAUUCCUUGUCGGUUAAAUACCGACCUGCAUGAAUGGCGUAACGAGAUGGGAGCUGUCUCAAAGAGGGAUCCAGUGAAAUUGUAGUGGAGGUGAAAAUUCCUCCUACCCGCGGCAAGACGGAAAGACCCCGUGGACCUUUACUACAGCUUGACACUGCUAUUUGGAUAAGAAUGUGCAGGAUAGGUGGGAGGCUUUGAGUAUAUGACGCCAGUUGUAUAUGAGCCAUUGUUGAGAUACCACUCUUUCUUAUUUGGGUAGCUAACCAGCUUGAGUUAUCCUCAAGUGGGACAAUGUCUGGUGGGUAGUUUGACUGGGGCGGUCGCCUCCCAAAUAAUAACGGAGGCUUACAAAGGUUGGCUCAGAACGGUUGGAAAUCGUUCGUAGAGUAUAAAGGUAUAAGCCAGCUUAACUGCAAGACAUACAAGUCAAGCAGAGACGAAAGUCGGUCUUAGUGAUCCGGUGGUUCUGUGUGGAAGGGCCAUCGCUCAAAGGAUAAAAGGUACCCCGGGGAUAACAGGCUGAUCUCCCCCAAGAGCUCACAUCGACGGGGAGGUUUGGCACCUCGAUGUCGGCUCAUCGCAUCCUGGGGCUGGAGCAGGUCCCAAGGGUAUGGCUGUUCGCCAUUUAAAGCGGUACGCGAGCUGGGUUCAGAACGUCGUGAGACAGUUCGGUCCCUAUCUGCCGUGGGCGUAAGAAGAUUGAAGAGAUUUGACCCUAGUACGAGAGGACCGGGUUGAACAAACCACUGGUGUAGCUGUUGUUCUGCCAAGAGCAUCGCAGCGUAGCUAAGUUUGGAAAGGAUAAACGCUGAAAGCAUCUAAGCGUGAAGCCAACUCUAAGAUGAAUCUUCUCUAAGCUCUCUAGAAGACUACUAGUUUGAUAGGCUGGGUGUGUAAUGGAUGAAAGUCCUUUAGCUGACCAGUACUAAUAGAGCGUUUGGCUUAUCUUUAAUAAAGCAU